GCUAAUCCACAUUAAAUACAUUUACACACACAUUUUAGUUAAUUAAGCUCUUAAUUAAGUACUAACUCAAUUACUCAUAUAACUAUAAUUAUGUAUAUAAGAGAAACUGAGGGACUGAUUACGUACGUAGAGACAUCUACUUUGUAGGGAGGUCCACCAACGUGGUCGGUAAUCUAAUUAAUUAAAAUGCAAAGUAUUAAUCCAUAUACUCUGAUUAUAUAUCACUAGAUUAUGGAACAUUUACACACACAAAAAUGAAAAUUAUUACCGGAUACAUGAGAGUUAUGAGUUCGCCGUCAGGUUUUAAGAGUUCAUACAUGGAUUUAGCCCAUGCAGGUCUCAUCUCCGGUUCAAUAGCACAGAAGAACCUGUUAAUUAAUUAUAUUAGUUCAUUGAAUUUUAAUUUUUUUUUAAUAAUACAACACAUUAUUGUUUCUAACCCAAAUUUUUCUGUUUAUUUACUUAAUGCAAACAUUAAUUACGUUUUUAUAUUUAAUCAACUCACACAUAAUCAAAGAUAAAGUCGAAUAAUUCGUCAGGACGCCAAGUGAAAACAUCUUCCUUCACGAACGAAAAGUACUUUGCCUUUGGUGAAGAGCCGUAAGUCUUUAUGUAAUCAACAUAAUGUAAUUAUUAAUUUUUCUUUAUUUAAAGAGAACGUAAGAAAGUGAAUAUGAUUAAACCAUUUAACCUCAUUAGCUUUCGUGAGGGCGCUUUCGGAAAUAUCCAAUCCAACAACGAAACGUUCGGGGCUUGCCAUCGCAACGACGUCAUGUCCCUAUUCACAUUCAUAACAUAUUUAUGGACAAAGUUAAUUAACAAGCAUUUCAUUUUCACAGUUGUUCAUUAAAGUCACUUAACAUAAAGUAAAUUGGUUCAAUCUAUACUAAGUAGUGAAAUUUAUAAAAGGACAAACUUUGAUGAUUUUAAUUCAGUUAAACUAGUUAGUUUUUUUUUGUAAUAACAAAUAAUAGUUUUUUUUUGUCAAAACAAAUAAUAGGUUUACAUUCAAAUUAAAAAAAAAAAACAAGAAUAAAACCAAAGACCAAACAAAAUAAAUGAAAAAAAAAACUACACCAAAAUUAAACUUCUUAUAAGAAAAUUUAAAUUAUAUUGUGUCUUCAUAAAAAAUAAGAUGUUGAGUCCAAAGCCGUAUCAUGCUAAUUCAAAAUAGAUUCGGUUUCAAUCACGAAAAUCUGAAAUUGUUAUAGUAUAUUUUCUAUAAUUAAAAUUUUCUUUUAAGAAAUCGAAUUCAAACCAUAUAUAUGUAAACCAAAUGGAAAACGAGAGAGAGAGAGAGAGGUAAGAAGAAGACUGACUCCACCACAGCCGGGGACAAGAGCACGGCCAAGUGGGAGUGAGGAAGUGUCGACAAGAUGAACAAUGAGAGGUGUGGCUCUUCCUUGGUCCCAUGGUGUUAUCUCUUCUUCCCAACAUUUUUCCCAUCCACCUGUUUUAUAAUUUUAUUUAGUAAAUUAAUAAUUUUAGUAAUUUUAUUCUUAUUUGGGUGUUGGUUUUGUCUACCUUCCAAAAUAUAAAAAUUUCAGAAUUUUUUGAUCCAUAGAUGAUUAAAAUCACAUAAGUGAUAUGGGUCAAUCUAAUCACUACCAAUUAAAAUUGAGUAGAAAAUUCGUUAAACUUAACAAUAUACAACUUUUAUAUGUUCAGAAAGCAUUUGAUUUUGGUUAAUGUGAAUCAUUUAUCACAAAGGCGAUAUGAGUUUAUGACGAGAUGUUAAUUAUGAGACAAAAAUAUUAAGAGAAGAAUGAAUCACCUUCUUCAACAGUUUUGUGCAGGAACGUAGCAACUUCUUCAGGAGUUGGAAUAACGUUUCCACCAUUGCUCUGACCUGAGUUUUCUUGUUCUUCAGCCAUUUUAUAGUUUUCUCUUUCUCUCUUGUCUUUCUAUAAUGAUUUCCUUAAUUUGAUAUUUUUUUGGGGGUCUUGAAGUUGUGGAAAGCUAUAAGCACAUGAUAUCUAUCUAUAUAGAGGAUAACAAUUGAAUUAUUAUAUUUAACAAAAAAACAAUAAUUGAAUUAAGUGAUUUUGUAUAAAGCUAUAUUUGUGUGUGUUUCACUCUCGACAUGACUUUCUGCUCAUUUGUGUUCUCUUAUUGGAACACGAGCUAUUUAGAUUUAUAGUCCCCAAUCAUUAUGAGACAAUUUUUUUUUUUUUUGAUAAAUAAUGAGAAAAUUUUAAAGAUGAUCAACGGCUUUGUAAUUUUGGUUGAUUAUACGAUUGGUGUUUCAUACAGAAAAAAAGGAAGAUAAAUAAAAUGAUCACUAGCAUAUUUUUAACAUAUUUGACAUUCGAAUAUGUUAAAUGAAGUAUUACUGUAUUUAUAAAACAACUUAUAUAAUACGAAACAAUAUCUUAAUAAUCUCGUUAUCCAUUUCAUCAGAAUUCAGAGACAGAAAUACUAUAUACUAUUAUUUUGAUAUAAUAUCGUAGAUAUAUAAUGUAACACACAUUGCAUUACCAUCUUAUCCAUGGUAUGUGAAAAUCAGAUGCAAGUGGAAUAAGUGGCCCUAGCUAGUUUCACUCAAUUAUUCACCAAUUCCCAAUAAAAUAGUUAGAUUAUUCAUUUUUAGACUAUUUCCUGUUUUUUAGAACUUCUCAGCGUUUCUGCCAAUAAAGUUGUUCUUAGCUCCAAAAAUAUGCCGCUCUGAGGUGACGGACUCACGAGUGAGUGAUCACAAGGGACCACCACACAAUUUAAUAGAAGCAAUAAACCAGAGUACGACCUAACUCCCACUAACGCUGGAUUCAAAGUGAACACGACAUCGUUUCUAAAACACAAAACGACAAUUGUUUACAAGUCUGACUGUGUAACACAUCUCUUUCUCUUUAAGGUGUACCGAUUUCACCAACAAGGUAUAUUGUGGAUGAGAAAUUAGACAUUGCUUCUCAUUAAAUACACACGUUUAUUUUAUUACAAAAUAAAACUUUUCAUUCAUUUAUUUAUUUAGACGUGUAAGUAGUAACAUUCGGUUAUGACUCUAUUAGGAGGACCAAAAAUGUAAUUUUUAUUGGAAUACUUAGACGAGCCAUGAGCCCAUAAGAGUGUGAUGUGAUGGUAAUGGGGAAUAAUCACAUUGACUUCUUCUUCAUAGCUUUCUCCUCCUUACCUUAAACUUGCCGAGCUUGGAAACAGUCAUUCACCAUCAUAUUAAUAGUCUCCGAAUCCAAAACUCAUAGCACCCAAACAAACAUUUGUCUUAAUUAGCAUUGUAUAUCAUUUCCUCGAGCAAUCCCCAUAUCUCAUGUUUCUCCCAAACACGGCUCUUACACACAUCCGAGCUUGUAGAGAAGAAGUCUCUCGGCAUUAAUAGAUCGAGUUAGGGCUUCGUCGACCAAAUUAAAACCUUUCACAAUGAGAGAACUCGAAGCAGAAUUGGCUACUGAUGACUCAUAGAGGUUUAGAGAGAGUUGGUCAAAGAGAGUGGAGUAUAUAUAUAUAUAUAAUUGAAGGAGAAAAGUAUAUAAUUGCAAACUCAUUAACACCAUAAAAAAAUAACACCAAUACUAAAAAAUUAUCUAAAACUAAAUAAAAUGAAUUCGGCGAUGACUAAGUGUCAUCACUUCAUAAUGCAAAAGGAAGGAAUUGGAAUCGGAAUCGGAUUCAGAUCCAUGGAAGGUAAAUACGUUCUCAGACCAUUCCACAACUCCCCGAAGCAACUUGCCCAUCACGGGUAUCUCAAACAAAAUCAUUGCACACCAAAUCUCUGUUUUGCAUUCCUUAGUAUACGUCUUCCACCAAACUGUCACUCUCCUCUCUUUGGCAGGGCUUGCCACCGAAAGAAGAUAAUUAGAAGAAAUUCCUUCAAGUCCCCCAAGCUCCGCACCCCACGGACUAGAGUCAUCACAGCAGAUUAGGUGGAGUUCCCCAUUGGAAACCGUUGCUUGGAAGUCUUGGCAAUCUAUCUGUACCAUGCAAAUAUUCGGACACAAGCUAAGACUGUCCUCAUUCGUAUUGUCAUAAAUUUUUCCACCAAAACAAUUAUUAAGAAACAAAACUCCACACAAAUCAAUACUAGAGUAAAAAACUCUUAUUGGAAAGGAGAAACUUUAUUAAACUUUAUAGUACAAUACACACACACGAAAGAGAGGAACAUGGGACAUAAAAACAAGGGAAGAGAUCGGGACCGUCGUCGUAGACGCUGAUCACCGCCUGAUAAGCAUUCACAUUCGAACACACAUAUUUUACAUAGAGUAUGAUACUCAAUUUAUUCUUGAUAGAUGAGAAGAUUUCACACAUAUAUAACACUGAUCUUACUAAAGAGUAAGAUAUGAUCUCUCUGACUCUCUCUUGAGUCAGUUAAUCUUCUUCCACCUCGCAAGCUUCUCUUUGCCCUGUUUAAUACAUCCGAAGGAAUUAUCAUUUAAAUUAAUUAUAUAAUAAAUCACAUGUUUAUAUAUAUACACCGAUAAAAUAAAAUAUCAGCUUAUAUUUUGAUAUAACGUUAACAUAUAUAUGUCAUCUCGCACAGUACCUUACGAGUGGGAGUGCCGGCCCAAAUAUAUGGACUGCCUAAAGCAAGCCAUAUAAUUGAUGCCCCAAUGAAAAAAAAAAAAUCAUUUUAAAAGAAUGCAUAAUGUGGGUUUUGAACCCCUAACUUGUUAGUAGAGAGAAACCAAGCUUAACAACUAGACUUAUUGAACAAUUUUGUAAAUGAUGCCCCUAAAUUUCUUUAUAACAUCUGAUGCUCUAAAGCCCUAGCUUCAUGAGCUUCUGCCACGAGCCGGGCCUGAGUGGGAAUGGAGUCUGGGUUCUCCUCAAUGGACACUGCUUUAAAUCCUAACGGAACCAACACAUCUUCGUAGCUAAACCUCAUAAGAAAACACACACGCACGAUCAAUAUUUUAGUUAAUAAAGUAUACUACAAUUACGGGUUUUAAUUAGUCAUUAAUUAAUAGUCUAAAACGAUUUUGUAUAUAAGACAUAUUGAGGGGUUAACUACGUACGAAGACAAAGCUACUUUGUAGGGAGCUCCACCCUCGUGGUCGGUCAUCUAAUUAAUAAAAGGGCAAAAUAUUAAUUCAUAUAUACUCUGUGAUUAUAUGGAACAUUCACACGAAAAAAAUAUGAAAUAAUUAAUUACCGGAUACAUCAGAGUUAUGAGUUCUCCGUCAGGUUUCAGGAGUUCAUGCAUGGAUUCACCCCAUGCAGGUCUCAUCUCCGGUUCAAUUGC
This 5191-nucleotide long non-coding RNA is filed under the name Arabidopsis lyrata. RNAcentral describes it as "long non-coding RNA (ALYR_LNC002185)". The record is from RNAcentral. Lineage: Eukaryota; Viridiplantae; Streptophyta; Magnoliopsida; Brassicales; Brassicaceae.